RNAcentral lists this transfer RNA (84 nucleotides) under Anaerolineales bacterium. RNAcentral's name for it is "tRNA-Leu". It matches the Rfam family "tRNA". Rfam says of the family: Transfer RNA (tRNA) molecules are approximately 80 nucleotides in length. The record is from RNAcentral. Lineage: Bacteria; Bacillati; Chloroflexota; Anaerolineae; Anaerolineales.
GGCUCGGUGGCGGAACUGGCAGACGCAGGGGACUUAAAAUCCUCCGAGGGCAACCUCUUGUGGGUUCGAUUCCCACCCGAGCUA